CAGGGAGACAGGGAUGAGCUGAAGCUCAGCUGGGAUGUCAGCCCAUGGGUGGUGGUCCAGGAUCAGGAAUGGGGAGAUAUAGAAUUCAGUUUAUUAAAUAGGAAUUCAUUAAGCCAUGUGGUGAAUAGUGGCUUCACAUCAGAGCUCUAUUGGCUAAGAUACGGAAGCUAAAGAUUACAUCUAGAAGCAACUCAAAUAAUUUACAUCUUCAUGAAUUAAAUCUUCUUGUAGACAACCUCUUGCUAAAAAGCAACACACAGUCCAAGCUUUGAAAGAAAGAAACUAAGAUGAAUGUAUU
Molecule: long non-coding RNA, 298 nt
Organism: Chiroxiphia lanceolata (lance-tailed manakin)
Lineage: Eukaryota; Metazoa; Chordata; Aves; Passeriformes; Pipridae
Exons: 3
Source: RefSeq, a predicted model, not a curated record